Amblyraja radiata (thorny skate) is the source of this 173-nucleotide long non-coding RNA. RefSeq lists it as uncharacterized. Lineage: Eukaryota; Metazoa; Chordata; Chondrichthyes; Rajiformes; Rajidae. The record is from RefSeq and is a predicted model, not a curated record. The transcript has 3 exons.
GUGAAUAAGUGGAUGCUGCUGGUGUUGCUGGCAUUACUGGGUGUUGGCCUCUUGAUGUCAUCCAGAGGUAUCUGGUCUCGUCCCGAGAAGCUGGGCUCACUGGAAAGCACUCAGGCUGGCCUGCAGGUGCGUGUGCAGAGAAUGGAGAAGGAGCUGGAGCUGCUGACCGCUGA